RNAcentral lists this ribosomal RNA (189 nucleotides) under uncultured bacterium. RNAcentral describes it as "partial 16S ribosomal RNA". It matches the Rfam family "Bacterial small subunit ribosomal RNA", at positions 340 to 524 of the family's 1533-position model. The record is from RNAcentral.
UACGGGAGGCAGCAGAAAAUCUUUCACAAUGGAGGCAACUCUGAUGGUGCAACGCCGCGGGGAGGAUGACGGUCCCAGGAUUGUAAACUCCUGUCAUUGGGAAGAAAAACUUAAGCGUUAAUAGCGCUUACGUUUGAUAGUACCCAAAGAAGAAGGGACGGCUAACUUCGUGCCAGCAGCCGCGGUAAU